RNAcentral lists this ribosomal RNA (909 nucleotides) under uncultured eukaryote. RNAcentral's name for it is "SSU rRNA". It matches the Rfam family "Eukaryotic small subunit ribosomal RNA", at positions 130 to 1083 of the family's 1831-position model. The record is from RNAcentral.
CGAAGUUACAUGGAUAACCGUGACAAAUUACAGCUAAUACAUGCAGUCAGACCUGGUCCAAGGGUCGUAAUUAUUAGUAUUAAACCAUUUCCGAAAGGAGUGUGAUGAAUCAUAAUAAUCGAACGAAUCGCCUGUUGUGCGAUAAAUCAUUCAAGUUUCUGCCCUAUCAGCUUUGGAUGGUAGUGUAUUGGACUACCAUGGCAGUCACGGGUAACGGAGAAUUAGGGUUCGAUUCCGGAGAGGGAGCCUGAGAAACGGCUACCACAUCUACGGAAGGCAGCAGGAGCGAAAAUUGCCCAAUCCCGACACGGGGAGGCAGUGACAAGAAAUAACAACUCUAGGUUAUUCUUAGAAGUGUAAUGAGGAUAAUUUACAAACCUUACCGAAAGCAAUUGGAGGGCAAGUCUGGUGCCAGCAGCCGCGGUAAUUCCAGCUCCAAUAGCGUAUAUUAAAGUUGUUGCAGUUAAAAAGCUUGUAGUUGAAGUUCUGGCUGCUCGGUCCUCGAGCUCUGUAGCCGAGGAAACGACAGUCAUCCGCUUGCAAAUAUAUGUUCGCCUUUAAUCGGGCGGCUAUAUGAGUAAGCAUUUUACCUUGAGAAAAACAGAGUGUUCCAGGCAGGUUUGUCCGGAAUGCGUUAGCAUGGAAUAAUAGAAUAUGACUGAAGUCGAUUUAUUGGUUUAAGGCUUUAGUAAUGAUUAAUAGGAACAGUCGGGGGCAUUGGUACUUGACAGUCAGAGGUGAAAUUCUAGGAUUUGUCAAAGACUAACAAAUGCGAAAGCAUUUGCCAAGGAUGUUUUCAUUAAUCAAGAACGAAAGUUAGGGGAUCAAAGACGAUCAGAUACCGUCCUAGUCUUAACUAUAAACGAUGCCGACUAGGGAUCGGCGGAUGACGUUUAGCGUUGCCGCCGG